GAUGAACGCUAGCGGCAGGCUUAACACAUGCAAGUCGAGGGGUAACAUAGAUUGCUUGCAAUCUGAUGACGACCGGCGCACGGGUGCGUAACGCGUAUACAAUUUGCCUUAUACAGGGGGAUAGCCUUUAGAAAUGAAGAUUAAUACCCCAUAGUAUUAUAGAGUGGCAUCGCUUUAUAAUUAAAGAUUUAUUGGUAUAAGAUGAGUAUGCGUCCUAUUAGCUAGAUGGUAAGGUAACGGCUUACCAUGGCUACGAUAGGUAGGGGUCCUGAGAGGGAGAUCCCCCACACUGGUACUGAGACACGGACCAGACUCCUACGGGAGGCAGCAGUGAGGAAUAUUGGACAAUGGGCGAGAGCCUGAUCCAGCCAUGCCGCGUGCAGGAAGACUGCCCUAUGGGUUGUAAACUGCUUUUAUACAGGAAGAAACCCCUGAACGUGUUCGGGGCUGACGGUACUGUACGAAUAAGCACCGGCUAACUCCG
Molecule: ribosomal RNA, 484 nt
Filed under: uncultured Flavobacteriaceae bacterium
Lineage: Bacteria; Pseudomonadati; Bacteroidota; Flavobacteriia; Flavobacteriales; Flavobacteriaceae
Description: bacterial SSU rRNA
Rfam family: Bacterial small subunit ribosomal RNA
Source: RNAcentral